CUGGUCUUGCCUUAACAUUUCACCUCUCAUAGAACCACUUCUUUUGGAGCUGCAGGAAUACACUCCGCUUCCUCUUCCCCAAUCUAAUGCCCCCUUCAACCCUCGGAGUUAAACGAAAUCCUUCAUUGUAUAAAACUAAGCUCUCUGAAAAGUUCACCAUAUCUAGUGUAACUUCAUUAUCACCAAUCUCGAGAUGUUUAAAAGCCAGUUCAUUAAGGUCAUAAGAAACCAGCUCUCCACUAAUCAUUAACAUUCCAAAGUCACUAUUGUUGACAAUGCCUAAUGGCCUUACAAUUCUUUCCUCUGGCACAAUCGAGUAUUGUUUAGUCCAAGACUCCACCAUGCCAUACUCCCUCAUCACCCAAAUGUAACAGCCCUCGAUUAGUCUAAGAUUGCUGAUGCUGCAAACAAUCAGGGCAAGUGAUUCUCUUAACACGGCCACAGAAACUUGAGGCCUUUCUCCUUCGCCAUAUUCAUGAUACAUUGGAAGCAUUAUCUCUCCAAACUUCUCAGAAUCAAAAUCAAACAACAGGACAACAUUUGCAGAGGAUUCUUCUCCGGUUUAGAGGCAAAAAAAUGGACAGCUUCAUUGAGAAAUGCUGAUGAAAAUGUAUCAUUUGCAUAGUAUCCAGCAUUAUUUCCAAUUGUUCUCCAUGAAUUCGUUGCUAGCGAAUAUACCUCAACUCUUGGUGGUUUUUUUUCAACAUAUAAUGGCAUAUAAACAUCUCCAAAAUACAUUAUCCUUACAUUAUUUGAGGAUGAUUAUUUGGAAAAUGGAUUAAUUUGAGGAUUAUUAUUAUUUUUUUUUUUUGGAAAUGGAUUAUUUUGCUGAUGAUGAUGAAUCUGAUUAUGAUGAUUAUUAUUUUUGAAAUGGAUUAUUAUUUUGCUAAUGAUGAUCUUUUAUUUUGAUUAUUAUUAAUUUUAUUAUUAUUAUUAAUGAUAAAUUAUAAUUAAUUAAUACACUAAGAACAUAUGAAUAUAAUUAAUCAAUAUAUUAACAAUAAUUAAUAAUAAUAAUAAUAAUAACAAUUAACAAUAUUAUUAUUAUGAUAAAAAAAGAAAUAUAAUUAAUUAAUAUAACAACAACAACAAUGAUAAUAAUAGUUAUUAUUAUAAUUAAUUAAGGGUACUUUAAUAAUUUAAAACAAUUCAACUCAUUCCGAUUAUGAUUUUUACAGCUUAAGUAAAUAAUUUAUUCUAAUUGUCAUUCCCUAUUCCGAUUCAAGUUUAUUCCGAUUCUAGGCCAUUCCGAUUACUGACAAAUAAACGCAGUAUUUAUUGCUAACAAGUGGCAUAAUUAAAGAGGAAUUAAAAUAUUUAUAUCAUCUUAUAGUUAUCGUUUCAGUUUUGAUUUUAAAUGAUUAGGGAAUAGAUGACUGGAUACUUAAAGAAGAGUUAGAACAUUUUUAUUUUAUGUAUAGUACUUGAAAUUUCUCUACUGACUGUAUCUUCAACUUGUUCAUGUGCAUAUAGCACUACAGCUGGUAGAAACUAUAUAUGACUAAAGCUGGGCUUUAGUUUACUUGAAACGUUAGGAAACUAAAUGUUUAAAUUUAUAUUUAAAAAAAAUGAUGCAAGAUUUAAAAAGUUAAACAUUACCUCAAAUGCAUAGGUUUUAAUAUUUUUCCGAGUGUCACGCGCAUAUGUCAUAACCAUGCGCAUUAACUGUCACUACCGCAAAAGUUGCUGCCACAGAAGAUACUAGAAUCUUUGACGCAAAAUUAAUCACUUCAAUCUUAAAUAUAGCUGAGCCGAUGAUACAUAUACCUCAUCAAAUACUGAGGUGGAUUUAAAAUAUCAUGGACAUACUGCAAUUUAUGUGAGAUAUGAACUUAACAUAAUACAUGGGAGUUUGAACAUGGGACCAUACCAAACGUGUGGGGAAAUAUAAAACAUCUGGCGAUAAAAGGGGCCUUAAUUUAGGGACUAACAAGAUAAUCUUUAAAUGGUACAAAAUUAAUCCGUGCAAAAUAAUUUGAAAAUGCCAUCACCAAUUAUUUGGAUGUGAUUGUGGGAUGAGAUCUUGUCAUUAGCGAAGACUUGUACAAGUCGUCAGCAGAAAGGGCAGAAGUUGUUUUCAAUUUUUAAUGCCUUAUUUUGUCGUCCUUUCUCUGUUUUUAAACCUUUCCAACUUUGACUUUUGAACAAGGGGAGGCCGUCUUUUGUUUUUUUUCCUUUUCCUUCCUCUUCUACUAAUAACCAAGCAAAACAGUAACUAACAGUUUGAACAGCAUUUUCGUUUCUACAAAUUUAAAAUUACCCUGAAAAUUUUGAUACUGCAUGCAUUCGGAAAUACAUAACAACUGAAUUAAUUCGUUCAAAUUGGAAAAUAUCAUUCAAAAAUAUAAUUAGAUAAAACUCAAUCUUUAUUCUACUUCACCUCUUCACCAUUCACUUGGAUUUAGAAAGCAAGAAAUAUUUCAUGAUCUCAUCAUCUCCCUUGUGGGUCAAUGAUCUCAGAGAAGACAUCUCUACAGAGGGAUCCGCUCACAGAACAUUGUUCAUUUGAAAGAUAAGCCUCAUGACCAAACUUUCCACUCUCCUCUGCGCUCUCUUGUAGCUGAAAUGCAAACUCAAGACCACGAACCACAUCACUCAUGGAUGGCCUUUGGGCUCCAUCAUCAUUCAAGCAGCUAAUUGCAACCUCAGCAAAUUUGUUCAAGCAUUCAGCUGUUAUGUUACCUUUCAAAAGCGGAUCAACAAUCUCAUCAAUGGUUCCAUUGCGAUAACAUUGUUCAGCCCAAACAGCUAAACUCGCUUGAUUCCUUUCCAUUGUCCGAAUAAUAGGUGGUCGAGCGCACAAUGCUUCCAAUAACACAACGCCAAAUGAGUAGACAUCGGAUUUUUCCGUUAGCUGCUGAAGUCGAUAAUACUCAGGAUCUAAGUACCCGAUGCUCCCCUUCACUAUAGUACUGACAUGAGUUUUGGACAUGGAAUUGGGUCCAAAUUUGGACAGUCCAAAAUCAGAAACCUUGGCCACCCAUUUCUCAUCCAACAAGAUAUUCGUUGUCUUCACAUCCCGAUGAAUGAUAACUUGCUUCGCCCCAGUAUGCAGAUACUGCAGCCCACGAGCCGCGCCUAUGCAAAUGCCAAGCCGUUGACUCCAUGGAAGAGGAGGAUUAUUGCUGUCAUAGAGAUGAUCCCGUAGCGUCCCACGAGCCAUGAAAUCGUACACAAGGAUCAUCUCCCCGUCAUCAUUGCAGUAACCAAUGAGAGUGACCAACCCUUUUAACAGCCAAAUAACUAACUACUGAAAAAGCUUGAAUCAAUCCUUUUUAGCAACUCUGAUUUCUCAUACUGAUCCUGUAAGAAUAAUUUUCAAUCACGUGCCUUGAAAAUAUUUUGAUGGAAAAUUAUUGACUAUUCCUUUGUCUCUUUGGCACAAAAGAAUUGAUCAUUAUCAAUUCUUUUGUGUGGGAAUGUGUAGUCCUCAUUAUAAAUUUUCGAAAACCAUGCUAAACGUUUUAAGGAUAUCGAAAUAUUAGAAAAUUGAUGGUAAAUUUGCAAGGAUGUCGCUGUUCAUAACUGAUAUUUGAUGAUUGAUGUGCUCUUAAUUUAAAUAUUAUUUUAAUAUUUUUCUAACUUAAUUUUAUAAUAAAAUUUAUUUUAUUAUGUUAAUUUUUUUUAUUUUGUUAGUGUAGAUAUAUCUUGGGAAUAAGAAGAAAUCAAUUGGAGCUUAAAGAAUAAUGGAGUACAAAACUAAUACCUUAUGGAAACAAAUAUUUGAUUGUCAAUUUUGCCAAACACAUGAGAAGUCAAACCGUGAGCAUGAAUUUAAAAGAAGAAAAAAAGGGGAAUGACUUCCAAGUUUAAGUUAUUCAAGUGGAGUGCACUAAAGGAUUAAUUGAUAAAUUAAAAUGGCAAGCAUGUGGUGGGCUUUUUGGACAAAUCCUUACUGGCUUAGCAAUUAUAAAGUUGUUUUGAUUUAAGGAUUGACCAUACCAAACAAGCACUUGGAGGACAAAGAUUAUUAUAUAAAGAGAUGAAAAACUGAGAACAAAAGAAUUCAAAAGAGAAGCAACCGUAGAAUUUUAUCGAAGCCGAGAGAAGAGAAGAGCUGCAAGAGAUCCAGAGAUAAGCCGAGAUUAAUUCUUGAGUUUUGCAAUAUUUUUAAGCUAAGCCAACGUUCCAGGAACAAUAGGAAUUGAUUGUUCCUUGGUGAAAUUCAAAGAACAGAAACAAGAGAUUCUUCAUUCAGGAACAAAUAAAACAAGUAACGAGUCUUUAGAAUCAAAUUAUGUCUGCAUACAUUUGUAUCAACAAAGUGUCAUCAUGAUGUGGUGCCGUGGUUCCGGUGCUCCUUUUGUAAUCAAACAUUCUGGUCUUGCCUUUGCAUUUCACCUCUCAUAGAACCACUUCUUUUGGAGCUGCAGGAAUACACUCCGCUUCCUCUUCCCCAAUCUAAUGCCCCCUUCAACCCUCGGAGUUAAACGAAAUCCUUCAUUGUGUAAGACUAAGCUCUCUGAAAAGUUCACCAUAUCUAGUGUAACUUCAUUAUCACCAAUCUCGAGAUGUUUAAAAGCCAGUUCAUUAAGGUCAUAAGAAACCAGCUCUCCACUAAUCAUUAACAUUCCAAAGUCACUAUUGUUGACAAUGCCUAAUGGCCUUACAAUUCUUUCCUCUGGCACAAUCGAGUAUUGUUUAGUCCAAGACUCCACCAUGCCAUACUCCCUCAUCACCCAAAUGUAACAGCCCUCGAUUAGUCUAAGAUUGCUGAUGCUGCAAACAAUCAGGGCAAGUGAUUCUCUUAACACGGCCACAGAAACUUGAGGCCUUUCUCCUUCGCCAUAUUCAUGAUACAUUGGAAGCAUUAUCUCUCCAAACUUCUCAGAAUCAAAAUCAAACAACAGGACAACAUUUGCAGAGGAUUCUUCUCCGGUUUAGAGGCAAAAAAAUGGACAGCUUCAUUGAGAAAUGCUGAUGAAAAUGUAUCAUUUGCAUAGUAUCCAGCAUUAUUUCCAAUUGUUCUCCAUGAAUUCGUUGCUAGCGAAUAUACCUCAACUCUUGGUGGUUUUUUUUCAACAUAUAAUGGCAUAUAAACAUCUCCAAAAUACAUUAUCCUUACAUUAUUUGAGGAUGAUUAUUUGGAAAAUGGAUUAAUUUGAGGAUUAUUAUUAUUUUUUUUUUGGAAAUGGAUUAUUUUGCUGAUGACGAUGAAUCUGAUUAUGAUUAUUAUUAUUAUUGAAAUGGAUUAUUAUUUUGCUAAUGAUGAUCUUUUAUUUUGAUUAUUGUUAAUUUUAUUAUUAUUAUUAAUGAUAAAUUAUAAUUAAUUAAUACACUAAGAACAUAUGAAUAUAAUUAAUUAAUAUAUUAACAAUAAUUAAUAAUAAUAAUAACGAUUAACAAUAUUAUUAUUAUGAUAAAAAAAAGAAAUAUAAUUAAUUAAUAUAACAACAACAACAAUGAUAAUAAUAGUUAUUAUUAUAAUUAAUUAAGGAAAUUUUAAUAAUUUAAAACAAUUCAACUCAUUCCGAUUCUGAUUUUUACAGCUUAAGUAAAUAAUUUAUUCUAAUUGUCAUUCCCUAUUCCGAUUCAAGUUUAUUCCGAUUCUAGGCCAUUCCGAUUACUGACAAAUAAACGCAGUAUUUAUUGCUAACAAGUGGCAUAAUUAAAGAGGAAUUAAAAUAUUUAUAUCAUCUUAUAGUUAUCGUUUCAGUUUUGAUUUUAAAUGAUUAGGGAAUAGAUGACUGGAUACUUAAAGAAGAGUUAGAACAUUUUUAUUUUAUGUAUAGUACUUGAAAUUUCUCUACUGACUGUAUCUUCAACUUGUUCAUGUGCAUAUAGCACUACAGCUGGUAGAAACUAUAUAUGACUAAAGCUGGGCUUUAGUUUACUUGAAACGUUAGGAAACUAAAUGUUUAAAUUUAUAUUUAAAAAAAAUGAUGCAAGAUUUAAAAAGUUAAACAUUACCUCAAAUGCAUAGGUUUUAAUAUUUUUCCGAGUGUCACGCGCAUAUGUCAUAACCAUGCGCAUUAACUGUCACUACCGCAAAAGUUGCUGCCACAGAAGAUACUAGAAUCUUUGACGCAAAAUUAAUCACUUCAAUCUUAAAUAUAGCUGAGCCGAUGAUACAUAUACCUCAUCAAAUACUGAGGUGGAUUUAAAAUAUCAUGGACAUACUGCAAUUUAUGUGAGAUAUGAACUUAACAUAAUACAUGGGAGUUUGAACAUGGGACCAUACCAAACGUGUGGGGAAAUAUAAAACAUCUGGCGAUAAAAGGGGCCUUAAUUUAGGGACUAACAAGAUAAUCUUUAAAUGGUACAAAAUUAAUCCGUGCAAAAUAAUUUGAAAAUGCCAUCACCAAUUAUUUGGAUGUGAUUGUGGGAUGAGAUCUUGUCAUUAGCGAAGACUUGUACAAGUCGUCAGCAGAAAGGGCAGAAGUUGUUUUCAAUUUUUAAUGCCUUAUUUUGUCGUCCUUUCUCUGUUUUUAAACCUUUCCAACUUUGACUUUUGAACAAGGGGAGGCCGUCUUUUGUUUUUUUUCCUUUUCCUUCCUCUUCUACUAAUAACCAAGCAAAACAGUAACUAACAGUUUGAACAGCAUUUUCGUUUCUACAAAUUUAAAAUUACCCUGAAAAUUUUGAUACUGCAUGCAUUCGGAAAUACAUAACAACUGAAUUAAUUCGUUCAAAUUGGAAAAUAUCAUUCAAAAAUAUAAUUAGAUAAAACUCAAUCUUUAUUCUACUUCACCUCUUCACCAUUCACUUGGAUUUAGAAAGCAAGAAAUAUUUCAUGAUCUCAUCAUCUCCCUUGUGGGUCAAUGAUCUCAGAGAAGGCAUCUCUACAGAGGGAUCCGCUCUCAGAACAUUUAUUAUUUGAAAGAUCAGCCUCAUGACCAAACUUUUCACUCUCCUCUGCGCUCUCUUGUAGCUGAAAUGCAAACUCAAGACCACGAACCACAUCACUCAUGGAUGGCCUUUGGGCUCCAUCAUCAUUCAAGCAGCUAAUUGCAACCUCAGCAAAUUUGUUCAAGCAUUCAGCUGUUAUGUUACCUUUCAAAAGCGGAUCAACAAUCUCAUCAAUGGUUCCAUUGCGAUAACAUUGUUCAGCCCAAACAGCUAAACUCACUUGAUUCCUUUCCAUUGUCCGAAUAAUAGGUGGUCGAGCGCACAAUGCUUCCAAUAACACAACGCCAAAUGAGUAGACAUCGGAUUUUUCCGUUAGCUGCUGAAGUCGAUAAUACUCAGGAUCUAAGUACCCGAUGCUCCCCUUCACUAUAGUACUGACAUGAGUUUUGGACAUGGAAUUGGGUCCAAAUUUGGACAGUCCAAAAUCAGAAACCUUGGCCACCCAUUUCUCAUCCAACAAGAUAUUCGUUGUCUUCACAUCCCGAUGAAUGAUAACUUGCUUCGCCCCAGUAUGCAGAUACUGCAGCCCACGAGCCGCGCCUAUGCAAAUGCCAAGCCGUUGACUCCAUGGAAGAGGAGGAUUAUUGCUGUCAUAGAGAUGAUCCCGUAGCGUCCCACGAGCCAUGAAAUCGUACACAAGGAUCAUCUCCCCGUCAUCAUUGCAGUAACCAAUGAGAGUGACCAAAUGAAUGUGCAUUAGUUGGGAGAGCAUCUCUAUCUCUGUCUGAAAUUCCAGUGCACCCUGUUGUGACCCUGGAAUCAGCCGUUUGAUCGCAACAGGAGUGGCGCCACCGUUGAUGAACCCUUUGUAUACGUUACCAAACCCUCCAACUCCAAUAAUGAGACCAGUAUCAAAGUUGUUUGUUGCUGCUUUGAUUUCGGAUAGUGAAAAGUGAGUACAUAGAUCCAGCGUUAGAGAUGAGCCACGAGACUUCCUUGAAUUUGUCUUAGAAGUAGAAAAACGUCUCCAGAAAAAAAUUGAAAGAGAAAUUGCAACAAAACCUGACAUAAGUCCACCAACAAUGAAAAUUGUAGUUGCCAUGAUAUUCUUGGAUUUCCUUGAUUGUGAGCUUGGCAUUUCCUGUGGCACAAUGGAAGGUUCGUUAUUCCGACUUUCGCUGAUCAGGGUUUCAGGAUUAGGUAAGGCGAGAUUUCCAUUGUUGUCCACCUUAAAAAUUUCAAUCCCGUUCAAGAUAGCAUCAGAAUACCUGGUCCUCCAUUCGGGCGUAGGAUGCAGUGCAAUAGAGAGUUUCUGCUUCUUUUCAUCUCCUUUUUUCAAUAUCAUUACAGCGUAGUCUCUGUAGGUGGGAACUCCAUUUCCCCCACUCCAAGCUAUUAUGUCUGCUUGAGAUUCAGCAAUUUCAUCAGCAAUGUUGAUCGCGAACUCUCUAUCACCGGGUUCAGUGAUCUCAAUCUGAAACUCGCAAAAAUGAAGCCUAAGAAAAUAUGUAAACCCGGAAUCCACUUGAAACUCCCAAUUGAGAUUAUAAUUCUCGUUUAUGUUCUUAUCCUGCCCCAUUGCUCUGGCGGUUUGGUAGAGACUAACGGGAGCAGAGUAAUUAGAUAUCUUAGUGAAACGGAGAACAAUACUAGUGUUAACGGGAAGAGCAGUGGGUCUGGCAUCUGUCAAGUAAGCGUCAUCCGUACUCCAGGUCCGAAGCAUUCCUGUGUCUCCUAGUGGUGAAAUGUGACUCCCACCAACAUUUAUUCGGUAUAACGACUCAAGGGCAUUGCUGUUUUCUAUCAUAAAUCGUUUCUCCUGGCCAACAAACAGGAACCAUGAGUCGUCGUAAUAAAGAUUCAGUGGCAUGGAUACUAUUUCAAUUCCGUUGAUAAAAGCAUAUGAAUCUUUGUAAUCUGGACUUGAUUUGAACGUAAUGUUCAAUAACCUCUGACUUUCUUCGACGUUGAUGCAGAAUUCUUUGAAAAAUGAAUCCUCGCCCAAAGCAUCAGCUGUAAGCGAAGCACUGAAGUUGCUAAGAAGGGUGAAAGAACCGGCUUUAACGGAGAAGAAAGCUUUAGGGCGGUCGAAGCCUGGAUAAGAAGUUGAAUAGAAAUACAGGCGGAUGAAUUUUUGACCUGCGGUGAGGUUGAAUAUGUAGGUGAACUUCGAAUGAGAAAGCCGUGCGGCUGAGUAUGGAGGUUGUUGAGGUGUGGUGAAGAUUCUUGAUGUGUCAUUUUUUGGCUGGAAGUAGUAGGAGCGUCCAGGGCUUAUAUCUCCAAUCCAGGUUCGGUAUUCCAGAGAAUGGAAGGUGCCAUUCGAGCCACAAGCAAGCAAUAUGCUGUCUGCGGCUUCAUAAGGAGUGUCUGAGGCACCGGAGACGGCGAAAGCCAUGUGGUGGAGGAAGAAUAAGAUGUAAGUUGGGGUGAUCAGAUACCUAGCGCCGGUGUUCUUCAUUGUGAUUGUGUUGUGUCUCUAGCUACAGCAUUUACAGAAUUUAAUAAAGGGUUAAAAUGUUAAAAACAAUGGUGGGCUAAAAUCAGAGUAAACGCGUCAAUGCGGGCCACUGAAAGACUAAGCAAAGUCUACGGUAGACGCUCUACGAAAGAUUGGAAGGUGGUCUUGGUCUUUGGGAUUACUCGUAAGUCCAGAUUAGAGUGUGGGUUUAAGGACUUUUAAGACAGAGUUUCCUUUUUUCGGGAGAUGGUCAACCGCUCAGAUCCAGUUUAACGGAAUUUUAAACUAAAUAUCAUUUUUUUUUUUUUAACUUUUAUAAUGAGUACCUUGCCUUUAAUAAAUAUCGUGCACACAAUAGAUUAGAGCUAUAAUUGGGAUACUCCAGCACUCUCACUUCACCCAUUACCACCUUCAACUCUUUGAACUCACCCUUUUCUACCAUAGUCGGCUCUACCAGGUACCAACUGAUACCAUGAUACAUAUUCCACAUUACCCGAUUUAUAGACUGUAACCUUCUAAAGGAUGCCAUAUAAAGCCGUACAGCAGUAUAUAUAUAUAUUAUUUUCAUUUUUUGUGAGUUUGUAGUUUUUUACGGAUUUUGAGAAUUAAAUCAAUGUCCAAUCCGCCGACUACAGAUUUUAAAAUUUUCAUUCCAAACCAAUUUACAAUCCACGCAUUGGAUUUUUUACGAAUCAAAUUUUUGUGACUCAAAUGAAUUCGAUUAGAUUCUAAACACCCUAACUUCAACUAAUGAUUAUUGAAGAAGAAAAGGGAAAUAACAUUGUUAGGGUUUAGUAAUUACUGAGGAUAAUAAUAAUCAUAAAUUAAUAAUGUCAAAUAAAAUGAAAAAAAUAAGUUUUUGGGUGCUUCAGGAGUACUGCUCUUUAUCCAUUCACUAUUUCACUACUUGCUACAUGCGUAUGUAUAUUAUUAUAAGGCAGUGACUAUGGUGGAGUUGCUCCACUGUAGAAUACUAAUGAUAAUUGUUAGAUUAUAGCAAUAAGUGUAGAUUUAAUAUUUAUUUUUAUGAUUGUACGGUCAUCAACAAUGGUCCAUAGUGGAACAGUUCCAACAUAUGUGAACCCUUAACAUACUGAAUUAAAAUAUACACUUAGAAAUAAAAUGAAUGAAAAAUAAGCACUACUGCAGAAAUACCUGAGACUUUUUCUUCAAAGAACCAAUGUAUAUUUGAUCGUUAGGACCGAGAUGGAUAGAUCUUAUUGGCACGAAAAACGGCUUGUUAUUAUAAAUUGAUUGAGGAAGGUAGCUCAAUUUCGUUAACGGUUUUGGAAAACAGAUUAUUAACAGCAGAUUGGACCCGCUCCAAUCUUCUUUGUAUUAAUUAGGCCCAGCUAAAGAAUAAGGUCUAGCGCCAGAAUAUUUAUCGACCUGGUUUGCUCAUAAGCACGUGAGAUUGAUUUAGGAAGGUUGUUUCCUUUUAAUAAAAGGAAACAAAAUCAAAUUAAACAGGACAUCAUUUAGGAAACCCUUCUCUAUUUACACAUAGACUGUCCUAAUCGUCCGGUGCUCAUUAUCUCACAGAAUAUAACUGUCCAUUACCAUGAUGCAGGAAAGAAGCCGCAUUCUUCCAGUGGGGUGCAAAUUCUUACCCUCUGAGGAACAACUUGUUCGUUACUAUCUUUUCAACAAGAUUUCUGGAAUCCCCACUCCCUUUGCUGAAUAUUUUGUGAAAGAUGUAGAUCUUUACGAUUAUGAAGAACCCUGGGAUAUUUGGAAACAGUUCGGAGGAUCCAAUUUAGAAGAUGGUGAGGAUCUUUACUUUUUCACACACUUAAAGAAGAAGAGCAUUAAUGGUUCAAGAAUUAAUCGCAAGGUCGGUUCUGGUGCAUGGCAAGGGGAAGAUGCCGGCGAGCUAGUCCUGUCCUGCAACUCCAAUCGCCCAAUUGGUUCAAAGAAAAUAUUUCGAUAUGAGAACGACAACUCUCCACACAACGGUUGCUGGAUUAUGCAUGAAUACACUCUGAACGCUUCACUGUUGCCUCAGAACCAUCAUUCCAGCAGUGACUGUGUUCUCUGUCGACUUAGAAAGAAUGGUGGUCAGUCAGUGGGGAUCAAGGAUUCAAGGAAAAAGAUAAAGAUUGAUAAACAAGUUGAAGACAAUGAUCAUCAGCCAGCGGGGAAGUCAAAUUCAAGGAAAAGGGUAAAGUUUGAACACCAAGUUAAUGGCAAUGAUAUCCCUGAUGAGCCUUUUGUUGAGAAUCACCAGAAUCAGUAUGUGCAAGAAAAUCAAUCGCAGCCCCUGAAUGAACAAAGUCCUCAUAAACUGCUUGAGUCCUCUGUUAAGAAUAACCCGGAAGAAAAAUCACCAGUGCCCAGGACUAAACAGACUCUUCUUGAACAAAUUGAGCAUUUAGCUGAGAAUGGAUAUCCAUCUACUUUUGAGGAGAAUCAACAACAGCCCAUGACCGAGCCAAGUCUUCAUAAUCAGCUUGAGCUUUCUCAGAAUCACCCGUUGAUGGAACAAACUCCAUCUUACCUUCUCAAGGGCCAAGAGGAAAAUCAUCAACUGGCCGUGACUGAACAGAAUCCUCAUCAUCUUGAGCUUUCCGAGAGUCACCAGAAUAUGAAACGCACUUCAUCAUCUAACCUCGAAGAAAACCAACUUCCAGCAACUGAACAGUCCCAUGAUGAUGCUAUCUACUCUGAGCUAACUGAUAUUAAUUCUUGGGUCGUUCAUCAGCUUACCCGUAUUGAGGAUGCUACCUACCCGCAUCUCGCCGAUGAUAAAUUUUUGGUUUCUAAUGAGCUUGUUUAUACGGAUUGAAAAUGACUCAUUCAGCUGCAUGCUGGAUAACCCCUUUUCAAUUUAAGCCCUUUUUUUGUUCAGUUUUUAUUGACUCGAGGAAAACAGAAGAAUACUAUAGCACAUGUCUAUUUCACUAGUAUUUUUAGAUUUGCUCUGGUGCAAGAAAUUCUGACAAGUAGACAGAGUAUAUAAUAUCCAGAUGCAUUUGCUGUUCCAGUAUUCAUUUUUUUUUUCAGAUUUUAUUUUAAAUUGUAUUACCCAAGUUUUAGUUUUUCAUAUGUCUGUAUCUCAUGAUAAGAUUACCUGAAUCAUAAAAAACUGCUUGGAUUCAAUCUCCAUUAUUGAAGCAUCCAUUUGUGAUGACCCUUUAAAUCUAUCCAAGAUUAAUCAAUUUAAGCACCUACAAGAUCGGAUUCUAUCAAGCCUAUAAAGGAGUAGAUGAAUCAAUCAACGGGACCUGUAUAACACGUGCUGUAGUACUUCAGCGGAAGCUUAAUCCACAGCUGGUAAUGGCAGCAACAUCUUUCCGCUACAAGAAUUCUUCACGUUACAAGGAUUCCAUUAGGCUACAGCUACACAAAACUUGAUGACCUACUUAUCAAGAUAUAGCACUCAUUUAUAGCAUUUUUCAUCAGCUAUUUUACUUACAGAACAGAUUUUUCAACUGAAUUUAACAAACUAAUUUCAAGUGGGCCCACCACAGCGCCACCUCAGCGGAAACAUGUUUGCCCUUUUAACAGCCAAAUAACUAACUACUGAAAAAGCUUGAAUCAAUCCUUUUUAGCAACUCUGAUUUCUCAUACUGAUCCUGUAAGAAUAAUUUUCAAUCACGUGCCUUGAAAAUAUUUUGAUGGAAAAUUAUUGACUAUUCCUUUGUCUCUUUGGCACAAAAGAAUUGAUCAUUAUCAAUUCUUUUGUGGGAAUGUGUAGUCCUCAUUAUCAAUUUUCGAAAACCAUGCUAAACGUUUUAAGGAUAUCGAAAUAUUAGAAAAUUGAUGGUAAAUAUGCAAGGAUGUCGCUGUUCAAAACUGAUAUUUGAUGAUUGAUGUGCUCUUAAUUUAUAUAUUAUUUUAAUAUUUUCCUAACUUAAUUUUAUGUUAAAAUUUAUUUUAUUAUGUUAAUUUUUAUCUUAAUUUUCUUAUUUUGUUAGUGUAGGUGUGUCUUGGGAAUAAGAAGAAAUUAAUUGGAGCUUAAAGAAUAAUGAAGUACAAAAAAUUAAUAACUUAUGGAAACAAAUAUUUGAUUGCCAAUUUUGCCAAACACAUGAGAAGUCAAACCGUAAGCAUGAAUUUAAAAGAAGAAAAAAAGGGGAAUGACUUCCAAGUUUAAGUUAUUCAAGUGGAGUGCACUAAGGGAUUAAUUGAUAAAUUAAAAUGGCAAGCAUGUGAUGGGCUUUUUGGACAAAUCCUUAUUGCCUUAGCAAUUAUAAAGUUGUUUUGAUUUAAGGAUUGACCAUACCAAACAAACGCUUGGAGGACAGAUUAUUAUAUAAAGAGAGGAAAAACUGAGAACAAAAGAAUUCAAAAGAGAAGCAACCGUAGAAUUUUAUCCAGAGAGAAGCCGAGAUUAAUUCUUGAGUUUUGCAAUAUUUUUAAGCUAAGCCAACGUUCCAGGAACAAUAGGAAUUGAUUGUUCCUUGGUGAAAUUCAAAGAACAGAAACAAGAGAUUCUUCAUUCAGGAACAAAUAAAACAAGUAACGAGUCUUUAGAAUCAAAUUAUGUCUGCAUACAUUUGUCUGCUGUACGGCCAAGGCGGAUGUACGGUACAGCAGGAAAUCCUUUAUUUUAUAAGACUAAGCUCUUUGAAAAGUUCACCAUAUCUAGUGUAACUUCAUUAUCACCAAUCUCGAGAUGUUUAAAAGCCAGUUCAUUAAGGUCAUAAGAAACCAGCUCUCCACUAAUCACUAACAUUCCAAAGUCACUAUUGUUGACAAUGCCUAAUGGCCUUACAAUUCUUUCCUCUGGCACAAUCGAGUAUUGUUUAGUCCAAGACUCCACCAUGCCAUACUCCCUCAUCACCCAAAUGUAACAACCCUCGAUU
Molecule: long non-coding RNA, 14055 nt
Filed under: Citrus sinensis (sweet orange)
Lineage: Eukaryota; Viridiplantae; Streptophyta; Magnoliopsida; Sapindales; Rutaceae
Description: long non-coding RNA (CSIN_LNC002715)
Source: RNAcentral